GACGAACGCUGGCGGCGUGCUUAACACAUGCAAGUCGAACGGAAAGGCCUGCUUUCCCUUGUGGAUUGCGGGUACUCGAGUGGCGAACGGGUGAGUAACACGUGAGUGAUCUGCCCCCAACUUGGGUAUAAGCCUGGGAAACUGGGUCUAAUUCCCGAUAGGACUGCAGGGUGGUGCCUGUGGUGGAAAACGAUUUUCUAGUGGUUGGGGAUGAGCUCGCGGCCUAUCAGCUUGUUGGUGGGGUAAUGGCCUACCAAGGCGGCGACGGGUAGCCGGCCUGAGAGUGUGGACGGCCACAUUGGGACUGAGGUACGGCCCAGACUCCUACGGGAGGCAGCAGUGGGGAAUAUUGCCCAAUGGGCGGAAGCCUGAUGCAGCGACGCCGCGUGGGGGAUGACGGCCUUCGGGUUGUAAACUCCUUUCGACCGCGAGGAAGCCACCUGGUUGGAAGGGUGGUGACGUUAGUGGUAGAAGAAGCACCGGCUAACUACGUG
RNAcentral lists this ribosomal RNA (494 nucleotides) under uncultured bacterium. Its description in RNAcentral is "partial 16S ribosomal RNA". It matches the Rfam family "Bacterial small subunit ribosomal RNA", at positions 28 to 507 of the family's 1533-position model. The record is from RNAcentral.